RNAcentral lists this ribosomal RNA (496 nucleotides) under uncultured bacterium. RNAcentral's name for it is "partial 16S ribosomal RNA". It matches the Rfam family "Bacterial small subunit ribosomal RNA", at positions 28 to 506 of the family's 1533-position model. The record is from RNAcentral.
GAUGAACGCUGGCGGCGUGCCUAAUACAUGCAAGUCGAGCGAACAGACGAGGAGCUUGCUCCUCUGAUGUUAGCGGCGGACGGGUGAGUAACACGUGGAUAACCUACCUAUAAGACUGGGAUAACUUCGGGAAACCGUAGCUAAUACCGGAUAACAUUUUGAACCGCAUGGUUCAACAGUGAAAGACGGUCUUGCUGUCACUUAUAGAUGGAUCCGCGCCGCAUUAGCUAGUUGGUAAGGUAACGGCUUACCAAGGCAACGAUGCAUAGCCGACCUGAGAGGGGGAUCGGCAACACUGGAACUGGGACAGGUCCCAAACCCCACGGGGAGGAAGAGGAGGGGAAUCUCCCGAAUUGGGCGAAAGCCUGACGGGGCAACGCCGCGUGAGUGAAGAAGGUCUCCGGAUCGUAAACCUUUGUUAUUAGGAAAGAACAAAUGGGUAAGUAACUAUGAAAGUCUGGCCGGUACCUAAUAAGAAAGCCACGGCUAAUUACGG